Long non-coding RNA from Tympanuchus pallidicinctus (lesser prairie-chicken), 863 nucleotides. RefSeq lists it as uncharacterized. The record is from RefSeq and is a predicted model, not a curated record. The transcript is spliced from 3 exons. NCBI's taxonomy places the organism in Eukaryota, Metazoa, Chordata, Aves, Galliformes, Phasianidae.
UUGUAGGGUCAGGGUUAGGGUUUCGGAUUGGUGGGUAUGAGUGUAUGUGUUUAUAGGGUCAUUGGGGUAUGGAGGUGUUGGGUUAUGGGGGUGUAGGGUUACAGGGUCAUAGGGGUGUGGGGUUAUGCGGUUAUAGAGGUGUGGGGUUAUAGGGUUAUAUGGGGUUAUAAGGUUCUAUGGGCUAUGGGCUAUAUGGGGUUAUAGGGUUAUAUGAGCUAUGGGUUAUAUGGGAUAUGGGUUAUAUGGCUAUAGGUUAUAUGGGGUUAUAGGGUUAUAUGAGCUAUGGGUUUUAUGGGGUUAUAGGGUUAUAUGGGCUAUGGGUUAUAUGGGGUUAUAGGGUUAUAUGGGGUUAUACGGCUAUGGGUUAUAUGGGGUUAUAGGGUUAUAUGGGGUUAUAUGGCUAUGGGUUUUAUGGGGUUAUAGGGUUAUAUGGGGUUAUAUGAGCUAUGGGUUUUAUGGGGUUAUAGGGUUAUAUGGGGUUAUACGGCUAUGGGUUAUAUGGGGUUAUAGGGUUAUAUGGGGUUAUACGGCUAUGGGUUUUAUGGGGUUAUAGGGUUAUAUGGGGUUAUAUGAGCUAUGGGUUUUAUGGGGUUAUAGGGUUAUAUGGGGUUAUAGGGUUAUAUGGGGUUAUAUGAGCUAUGGGUUUUAUGGGGUUAUAGGGUUAUAUGGGGUUAUACGGCUAUGGGUUAUAUGGGGUUAUAGGGUUAUAUGGGGUUAUACGGCUAUGGGUUUUAUGGGGUUAUAGGGUUAUAUGGGGUUAUAUGAGCUAUGGGUUUUAUGGGGUUAUAGGGUUAUAUGGGGUUAUAGGGUUAUAUGGGGUUAUACGGCUAUGGGUUUUAUGGGGUUGUAGGGUUAUAUGGGGU